RNAcentral lists this long non-coding RNA (286 nucleotides) under Drosophila guanche. Lineage: Eukaryota; Metazoa; Arthropoda; Insecta; Diptera; Drosophilidae. The record is from RNAcentral.
AAACGUCAGGAAUUUUCAUUUGACGCUUUUGCCAAAGAGCGAGUUUCCCAGAGACACAGCGAGAAAUGAGAAAAUGAAAAUCCCUUGCAAUUAAGAACUGUCAACGCUUCUUUGUACGCAUAACAUUCUUGAGAUUUCUGGCAAAUUCCUUGGUGCUCAUUUGAUUUACGACCGCAUCCAUCCAUCCAUCCGCUGUGUAUUGUGUUAAAAGUAAUUUGGCGAUUGAUUUUCACUCUUUAUAUGUUUGUAGGUACUCCCCUCUGUAUCCCUCUUUGGUACAUCCAAC